This 102-nucleotide microRNA precursor is filed under the name Marmota monax (woodchuck). Lineage: Eukaryota; Metazoa; Chordata; Mammalia; Rodentia; Sciuridae. The record is from RNAcentral.
AGAGAAAUAGCUGAGUCAAAUGGUGGUUCCCUGCCCAGUUUUCCAAGAAAUCUCCAUACUGCUUUCCAAAUUGGCUGCACCAGUUUGCAGUCCACCAGCAAU